Molecule: ribosomal RNA, 496 nt
Filed under: uncultured bacterium
Lineage: Bacteria
Description: partial 16S ribosomal RNA
Rfam family: Bacterial small subunit ribosomal RNA
Source: RNAcentral
ACGAACGCUGGCGGCGUGCCUAAUACAUGCAAGUUGAGCGCUGAAGGUUGGUACUUGUACCAACUGGAUGAGCAGCGAACGGGUGAGUAACGCGUGGGGAAUCUGCCUUUGAGCGGGGGACAACAUUUGGAAACGAAUGCUAAUACCGCAUAAAAACUUUAAACACAAGUUUUAAGUUUGAAAGGUGCAAUUGCAUCACUCAAAGAUGAUCCCGCGUUGUAUUAGCUAGUUGGUGAGGUAAAGGCUCACCAAGGCGAUGAUACAUAGCCGACCUGAGAGGGUGAUCGGCCACAUUGGGACGGGGACACGGCCCCAACUCCUAAGGGAGGCAGCAGUAGGGAAUCUUCGGCAAUUGACGGAAGUCUGACCGAGCAACGCCGCGUGAGUGAAGAAGGUUUUCGGAUCGUAAAACUCUGUUGGUAGAGAAGAACGUUGGUGAGAGUGGAAAGCGCAUCAAGUGACGGUAACUACCCAGAAAGGGACGGCUAACUACGUG